GAGGGUAUAGCUAACUGGUAAAGUGCAUGCUUAGCAUGCACAAGGUCCUGGGUUUGAUUCCCAGUACUUCCA
This 72-nucleotide transfer RNA is filed under the name Camelus bactrianus (Bactrian camel). It matches the Rfam family "tRNA". From Rfam's summary of the family: Transfer RNA (tRNA) molecules are approximately 80 nucleotides in length. The record is from Rfam by way of RNAcentral. RNAcentral also lists the same sequence under 1 other name. Lineage: Eukaryota; Metazoa; Chordata; Mammalia; Artiodactyla; Camelidae.